UACGAAGGGAGCUAGCGUUGUUCGGAAUUACUGGGCGUAAAGGGUGCGUAGGCGGUUUAGUCAGUCAGGUGUGAAAGCCCCGAGCUCAACUCGGGAACUGCGCUUGAUACUGCUAGGCUUGAAUUCGGAAGAGGUGAGUGGAAUUCCCAGUGUAGAGGUGAAAUUCGUAGAUAUUGGGAAGAACACCGGUGGCGAAGGCGGCUCACUGGUCCGACAUUGACGCUGAGGCACGAAAGCGUGGGGAGCAAACAGG
RNAcentral lists this ribosomal RNA (253 nucleotides) under uncultured bacterium. Its description in RNAcentral is "partial 16S ribosomal RNA". It matches the Rfam family "Bacterial small subunit ribosomal RNA", at positions 524 to 776 of the family's 1533-position model. The record is from RNAcentral.